This is a transfer RNA of Streptococcus mutans, 73 nucleotides long. It matches the Rfam family "tRNA". From Rfam's summary of the family: Transfer RNA (tRNA) molecules are approximately 80 nucleotides in length. Their secondary structure includes four short double-helical elements and three loops (D, anti-codon, and T loops). Lineage: Bacteria; Bacillati; Bacillota; Bacilli; Lactobacillales; Streptococcaceae. The record is from Rfam.
GGUCCCGUGGUGUAGCGGUUAUCACGUCGCCCUGUCACGGCGAAGAUCGCGGGUUCGAUUCCCGUCGGGACCG